GAUGAACGCUGGCGGCGUGCCUAAUACAUGCAAGUCGAGCGAACGGACGAGAAGCUUGCUUCUCUGAUGUUAGCGGCGGACGGGUGAGUAACACGUGGAUAACCUACCUAUAAGACUGGGAUAACUUCGGGAAACCGGAGCUAAUACCGGAUAAUAUUUUGAACCGCAUGGUUCAAAAGUGAAAGACGGUCUUGCUGUCACUUAUAGAUGGAUCCGCGCUGCAUUAGCUGGUUGGUAAGGUAACGGCUUACCAAGGCAACGAUGCAUAGCCGACCUGAGAGGGUGAUCGGCCACACUGGAACUGAGACACGGUCCAGACUCCUACGGGAGGCAGCAGUAGGGAAUCUUCCGCAAUGGGCGAAAGCCUGACGGAGCAACGCCGCGUGAGUGAUGAAGGUCUUCGGAUCGUAAAACUCUGUUAUUAGGGAAGAACAUAUGUGUAAGUAACUGUGCACAUCUUGACGGUACCUAAUCAGAAAGCCACGGCUAACUACGU
Molecule: ribosomal RNA, 496 nt
Filed under: uncultured bacterium
Lineage: Bacteria
Description: partial 16S ribosomal RNA
Rfam family: Bacterial small subunit ribosomal RNA
Source: RNAcentral